RNAcentral lists this ribosomal RNA (377 nucleotides) under uncultured bacterium. Its description in RNAcentral is "bacterial SSU rRNA". It matches the Rfam family "Bacterial small subunit ribosomal RNA", at positions 523 to 898 of the family's 1533-position model. The record is from RNAcentral.
ACACGUAGGACCCGAGCGUUAUCCGGAUUUACUGGGCGUAAAGCGCGUGCAGGUGGUUUAGUAAGUUAGAUGUUAAAGCUCCGGGCUUAACCCGGAGAGGUCGUUUAAAACUGCUAGACUUGAGGACGGUAGAGGAAGGUAGAAUUCCGUGUGUAGUGGUGAAAUGCGUAGAUAUACGGAGGAAUACCAGUGGCGAAGGCGGCCUUCUGGCCCGCUCCUGACACUCAGACGCGAAAGCUAGGGUAGCGAACGGGAUUAGAAACCCCGGUAGUCCUAGCCGUAAACGAUGCACACUUGGCGUUGGUGUGGUAAAACACAUCAGUGCCGAAGCUAACGCAAUAAGUGUGCCGCCUGAAUAGUACGGUCGCAAGAUUAAA